Chenopodium quinoa (quinoa) is the source of this 523-nucleotide long non-coding RNA. RefSeq lists it as uncharacterized. The transcript has 3 exons. NCBI's taxonomy places the organism in Eukaryota, Viridiplantae, Streptophyta, Magnoliopsida, Caryophyllales, Amaranthaceae. The record is from RefSeq and is a predicted model, not a curated record.
AAAUUGCUUCAAAAUACUACAAAAUUGCUUCAAAAUACUACGAAAUUGCUUCAAAAUAUUGCUAAAUUCCUUCAAAUGUCUACAUUUGCGAAGAAAUUCAACAAUCGCAACAACAUUCACAGAAAGAAACCGAAAAAUAUAUUUCGAAUUAGAGAGAUAAAGAGAAUGAUGAUUCAGAGAAGAAUCAUGUUCGUUGAACAUAACAAGGCAUAGUCUGAAGAAACGUGAACCAAAUUAGGAAGCAAGGAUGCGGAACUGAUGCUAUUUGAAGAAAAACACUAAAUAUAGGUUAAAUCGAAGAUAAGCAAGGAAGUUUGCAAAUGAAUAGUACAUGUUAUAUGUUCAUUUAUGAAAGUGUAUAUGUUCAUUAAUGAAUGUGUAUAUGAUCAUAUCUUAAACUUCCUCCAUUUCUUUUUACUUGCAACACAGCCUUGUGGCACGUGUUUUGAGGUCGGGUUUAUAUAAUGUAAACGGAUAAAUUAUUCAUUAUAAUUUUUACAAAUGAUACUUAACCCUAUUCUAA